This 709-nucleotide ribosomal RNA is filed under the name uncultured bacterium. Its description in RNAcentral is "bacterial SSU rRNA". It matches the Rfam family "Bacterial small subunit ribosomal RNA", at positions 39 to 766 of the family's 1533-position model. The record is from RNAcentral.
GCGGCGUGCUUAACACAUGCAAGUCGAACGAGGUCCAACCUUCGGGUGAAGACCGAGUGGCGAACGGGUGAGUAACACGUGGGGAACCUGCCCUUCUCUCUGGGAUAACUCCGGGAAACCGGAGCUAAUACCGGAUACUCCUUGCUGACCGCAUGGUCUGCUCGGGAAAGCUCCGGCGGAGAAGGAUGGCCCCGCGGCCCAUUAGCUUGUUGGUGGGGUAACGGCCCACCAAGGCGACGAUGGGUAGCCGAGCUGAGAGGCUGAUCGGCCACACUGGGACUGAGACACGGCCCAGACUCCUACGGGAGGCAGCAGUGGGGAAUCUUGCGCAAUGGGCGAAAGCCUGACGCAGCAACGCCGCGUGCGGGAUGAAGGCUCUCGGGUCGUAAACCGCUUUCAGCAGGGAUGAAAAUGACAGUACCUGCAGAAGAAGCCCCGGCUAAAUACGUGCCAGCAGCCGCGGUAAUACGUAUGGGGCAAGCGUUAUCCGGAUUCAUUGGGCGUAAAGCGCGCGUAGGCGGCUUGUUAAGUCAGGCGUGAAAUCCGGGGGCUCAACCCGCGGCUUGCGUCUGAAACUGGCAGGCUUGAGUCUGGUAAAGGAAAGUGGAAUUCCUGGUGUAGCGGUGAAAUGCGCAGAUAUCAGGAGGAACACCAGUGGCGAAGGCGGCUUUCUGGGCCACGACUGACGCUGAGGCGCGAAAGCUAGGGG